UGAUAGAGGCGCGGCUGACAAGAGUAGCCCCGGCAAACGGCAGGAAACCGUGGGGUGAAAGGGGAGGCCGCCGAGGGGAGAUAUGGGUUCCUGGUCAUAUCUUUGCCGGGCCGUCGGGGAAUACCCGCCGGACUGUCGCGGCGACAUGCCGCGGAGAGCUGUC
RNAcentral lists this non-coding RNA (163 nucleotides) under bovine gut metagenome. RNAcentral describes it as "Lysine riboswitch". It matches the Rfam family "Lysine riboswitch aptamer". Rfam says of the family: Riboswitches are metabolite binding domains within certain messenger RNAs that serve as precision sensors for their corresponding targets. Allosteric rearrangement of mRNA structure is mediated by ligand binding, and this results in modulation of gene expression. The record is from RNAcentral.